CCUACGGGGGGCAGCAGUGAGGAAUAUUGGUCAAUGGCCGAGAGGCUGAACCAGCCAAGUCGCGUGAGGGAAGACGGCCCUACGGGUUGUAAACCUCUUUUGUCGGGGAGCAAAGCGAACCACGUGUGGCUCAUUGAGAGUACCCGAAGAAAAAGCAUCGGCUAACUCCGUGCCAGCAGCCGCGGUAAUACGGAGGAUGCGAGCGUUAUCCGGAUUUAUUGGGUUUAAAGGGUGCGCAGGCGGAGGUGCAAGUCAGCGGUCAAAUUGCGGGGCUCAACCCCGUACUGCCGUUGAAACUGGAUGCCUGGAGUGCGCGAGAAGUAUGCGGAAGGCGUGGUGUAGCGGUGAAAUGCAUAGAUAUUAGGAAGAACGCCGGUGGCGAAGGCGGCCUGCUGGACUGUGACUGACGUUGAGGCCCGAAGGCGUGGGGAGCAAACAGGAUUAGAUACCCGAGUAGUC
This 459-nucleotide ribosomal RNA is filed under the name uncultured bacterium. RNAcentral's name for it is "partial 16S ribosomal RNA". It matches the Rfam family "Bacterial small subunit ribosomal RNA", at positions 338 to 795 of the family's 1533-position model. The record is from RNAcentral.